CAAGAACGGUGUUUACAACAACAUGGACCGAUCAAUCUUAAAGAUGGAAAGGUCACGCUCCCCUGAGAAGUUGGGAAAAUUAGGCCCUACUUAGAAUGGUACUCCCAAAACAGAAAACUGUUUUGGGAGUAACAGAAAACAGUUCUUUUUUAUUUUGUCUGCUUGGAAUUAUUUUAUAAAAACAGUUUUUUCAAAAUAGAGUUCUCAAAGUAGCAGUUUCCUAAGAACAGCUCAGAGUUGUUUUUGCUGUUUUAGAGAACAUGCGGAGAACAUUAUUCUCCACUUAAAAAAGCGGUCCGUACAUUUAAUAACCUAUAUCGUUUAUAACAGUUUUGCGCCUCCUCUCUGCAACCCAUCUUCUCUCUCUUAAACCUCUCUGCAACGACAUCUUCUUUCUCUUCAACCUCUCCACAACUAAGAGAAGGUGGAUCUGACUCUUGAUAGAUUGUUAUUUACACAAAGAGAAGGGUGGAUCUAGUUCGUCAAGCUCUCUUUCUUCAGGUAAUCCUUCAAUCUCUCUCUCUCAGUCUCUCUUUGCAUUUGUAUUGGUAUUUUGUGGAUUAAAAUUUCUGGAACCUUCUUUCAGUUUUUAUCCAUUAUAUUAAUUGCUUUUGUGAUUAUUGAGAAGCUUUUGUUUUAAUUUUAUUUCUAAUUUGUUUUGGGAAAUAUUGAUGGAUUUUGUUGGUUGUGUGAGUUUUGUUGUGGAUUUCAUUUUCAGUUUAGGGAUUUAGGGUUUUCAGUUUAGGGAUUUGGUUUUCAAUUUAGGGAUUUGGAGGAAAGAGAGAGGAGACAACUUUAUGUUAAAAGCUUGAGGUAUUGCAAAAAAUUAUUUUGAUGGAGUUAACCAUCAACUAACGGAUUUGGCCAACUUCUUGUUUUUGUUGAAAUUUCAAGAUUGAUUAAAAUGAUUUUUUAAUUGAUUGGUAUGAUACCAGAGACGGUACCGGGUGUUGAUUGGAAUAGGCUAGACUUCUGUGCCCAGACAUCAUUGGUACUAUUGGACAUUCUUUGACUCUAUGGGCACGUUUGAGGGUCUCAACCUGGCCCAGCACCAUAAGAACAGGGAUUUGAAAUCUACAAUUAAUAACAUCUCUCUGUUUCCAUUGCGGGUCUGCCAAUAAAUAGCUUUAGGCUAACAAACCAACAAGAUGAUUGAGUGAGGAAACAACUUUUCUCCAAAUUUACAUAAGAAAUGGUUAAAUGAGUUCUUCAAUUGUAACAAGUAACCUAGGGAGGCUUGGAUAAGAACUCCAAAAAAAGUGCAGCAGUAUAAUGAUUUUCAUUGCAUAAAAUUACUAGGCAAGUAUAAUGAUUUGUCGACAUUUUAAGCUCGUAUUGAGAGCAAUAUGUCGCCUUGGGAAAUUCCUCAUAUGUCCACCACAAAGCAAUGAUGUGCCUUCUCAUAUACUUCAUAAUCCAAAAUACUAUCAUUGGUUUAAGAAUUGCAUUGGAGCAAUUGAUGGAACACAUAUAAGUGCUUUUGUACCUGCCAGCAAAUAAACUCCUUAUAAAGGAAGAAAGUCUAUAGUGACACAAAAUGUUAUGCGUGCUUGCUCAUUUGAUAUGCUAUUUACUUUCGUUUACGCGAGUUGGGAGGGAACGACAAAUGACUCAAGAGUUUUUAUUGAUGCAAUUACUAGAGCUGCUGCACGAUUCCGGAUACCAGCAGAUGGGAAAUACUAUGUAGUUGAUUCUGGUUACCCAUGCACAAAAUCAUUUCUGCCUCCAUAUCAUGGUCAAAGAUAUCAUCUACAAGAUUAUAAGGGGUAAUAAUCGGUAACUGCGUGGUGCAAAAGAAUUGUUUUACUAUCGGCAUUCAUCACUUCGCAAUGUCAUUGAACGUUGUUUUGGAGUACUAAAGGCUUGUUUUCCCAUUUUAAAGCUUAUGCCUUGCUAUAAGUUGGUUAGACAACGACUCAUAAUAACUGCUUGUUGCACGAUUCACAAUUUCAUUCGUCAAAAUAUAUUAGAUGAUCGUUUUUUUAUGGAAUAUGGGGAAAAAGAUAUUAAUGUCACUGAUGGGGGGAAUGGUAACAGUACUAAUGUUGGUGUAUUGAAUGCACUUAAUUUAUCUAAUGAUGGUACAGCACAAAUGGGAGCCCUUAGAAAUCAUCUGACAAAUCAAAUGUGGGCAUCAUUCAGAAGCAAUGAUAGAUGAAAUGAAUUUUAUAAUUCUCCAAUGUUUUGCUUUUAUUACCUAUUUGUGUAAUUCUCUAAUAUUUUGUUUUGGUUAUGUAUGAUUAAAAUUAAUGUUUGUACAACUAAAAGUGCAUAUGACACUUGAAGUAAUUAAUGUAACUCUUUUAUUGUUUUUCAAUUUAGUCAAAUUUUAAGUAAA
This is a long non-coding RNA of Cornus florida, 2338 nucleotides long. RefSeq lists it as uncharacterized. The transcript has 2 exons. NCBI's taxonomy places the organism in Eukaryota, Viridiplantae, Streptophyta, Magnoliopsida, Cornales, Cornaceae. The record is from RefSeq and is a predicted model, not a curated record.